This 73-nucleotide transfer RNA is filed under the name Veillonella sp. RNAcentral's name for it is "tRNA-Trp". It matches the Rfam family "tRNA". Rfam says of the family: Transfer RNA (tRNA) molecules are approximately 80 nucleotides in length. Their secondary structure includes four short double-helical elements and three loops (D, anti-codon, and T loops). The record is from RNAcentral. Lineage: Bacteria; Bacillati; Bacillota; Negativicutes; Veillonellales; Veillonellaceae. RNAcentral also lists the same sequence under 1 other name.
AUGCCCUUGGUGCAAUUGGAAGCACGGCGGACUCCAAAUCCGUAAGAUGCAGGUUCAAAUCCUGCGGGGCGUG